GCGCCCGUAGCUCAGCUGGAUAGAGUGUCUGACUACGAAUCAGAAGGCCGUGAGUUCGAAUCUCGCCGGGCGCACCA
RNAcentral lists this transfer RNA (77 nucleotides) under Bacillota bacterium. RNAcentral describes it as "Firmicutes bacterium (anaerobic digester metagenome) tRNA-Arg". It matches the Rfam family "tRNA". Rfam says of the family: Transfer RNA (tRNA) molecules are approximately 80 nucleotides in length. Their secondary structure includes four short double-helical elements and three loops (D, anti-codon, and T loops). Further hydrogen bonds mediate the characteristic L-shaped molecular structure. tRNAs have two regions of fundamental functional importance: the anti-codon, which is responsible for specific mRNA codon recognition, and the 3' end, to which the tRNAs corresponding amino acid is attached (by aminoacyl-tRNA synthetases). tRNAs cope with the degeneracy of the genetic code in two manners: having more than one tRNA (with a specific anti-codon) for a particular amino acid; and 'wobble' base-pairing, i.e. permitting non-standard base-pairing at the 3rd anti-codon position. RNAcentral also lists the same sequence under 1 other name. The record is from RNAcentral. Lineage: Bacteria; Bacillati; Bacillota.